GGAGCCCUACGGGAGGCAGCAGUGAGGAAUAUUGGUCAAUGGACGCAAGUCUGAACCAGCCAUGCCGCGUGCAGGAAGACGGCUCUAUGAGUUGUAAACCUCUUUUGUCAGGGAGCAACGCCGGCUACGUGUAGCCGGACUGAGAGUACCUGAAGAAAAAGCAUCGGCUAACUCCGUGCCAGCAGCCGCGGUAAUACGGAGGAUGCGAGCGUUAUCCGGAUUUAUUGGGUUUAAAGGGUGCGUAGGCGGAAUGCCAAGUCAGCGGUAAAAUCGCGGGGCUCAACCUCGCUCCGCCGUUGAAACUG
Molecule: ribosomal RNA, 305 nt
Filed under: uncultured bacterium
Lineage: Bacteria
Description: bacterial SSU rRNA
Rfam family: Bacterial small subunit ribosomal RNA
Source: RNAcentral